RNAcentral lists this unclassified non-coding RNA (329 nucleotides) under soil metagenome. RNAcentral's name for it is "partial contains 5.8S ribosomal RNA, internal transcribed spacer 2, and large subunit ribosomal RNA". The stretch from base 1 to 120 matches the Rfam family "5.8S ribosomal RNA", at positions 35 to 154 of the family's 154-position model. The record is from RNAcentral.
GAUGAAGAACGUAGCGAAAUGCGAUAAGUAAUGUGAAUUGCAGAAUUCAGUGAAUCAUCGAAUCUUUGAACGCACAUUGCGCCCCUUGGUAUUCCGAGGGGCAUGCCUGUUCGAGCGUCAUUAUAACCCCUCAAGCUCAGCUUGGUGUUGGGCCCUGCUGCACUGGCAGCCCUUAAAAUCAGUGGCGGCGCCAUCUGGCUCUAAGCGUAGUAAUUCUUCUCGCUAUGGAGUCCUGGUGGAUGCUUGCCAUCAACCCCCAAUUUUUCUAUGGUUGACCUCGGAUCAGGUAGGGAUACCCGCUGAACUUAAGCAUAUCAAUAAGCGGAGGA